Molecule: ribosomal RNA, 224 nt
Filed under: Salmonella enterica subsp. enterica serovar Senftenberg
Lineage: Bacteria; Pseudomonadati; Pseudomonadota; Gammaproteobacteria; Enterobacterales; Enterobacteriaceae
Description: partial 23S ribosomal RNA
Rfam family: Bacterial large subunit ribosomal RNA
Source: RNAcentral
CCCGUGACUGCGUACCUUUUGUAUAAUGGGUCAGCGACUUAUAUUCUGUAGCAAGGUUAACCGAAUAGGGGAGCCGGAGGGAAACCGAGUCUUAACCGGGCGUUAAGUUGCAGGGUAUAGACCCGAAACCCGGUGAUCUAGCCAUGGGCAGGUUGAAGGUUGGGUAACACUAACUGGAGGACCGAACCGACUAAUGUUGAAAAAUUAGCGGAUGACCUGUGGCU